Molecule: ribosomal RNA, 459 nt
Filed under: uncultured bacterium
Lineage: Bacteria
Description: partial 16S ribosomal RNA
Rfam family: Bacterial small subunit ribosomal RNA
Source: RNAcentral
CCUACGGGAGGCAGCAGUGAGGAAUAUUGGUCAAUGGGCGGGAGCCUGAACCAGCCAAGCCGCGUGAGGGAAGAAGGUACAGCGUAUCGUAAACCUCUUUUGUCAGGGAACAAACGCGGGUACUCGUCCCCGGCUGAGGGUACCUGACGAAUAAGCAUCGGCUAACUCCGUGCCAGCAGCCGCGGUAAUACGGAGGAUUCGAGCGUUAUCCGGAUUUAUUGGGUUUAAAGGGUGCGCAGGCGGCCUGUUAAGUCAGCGGUAAAAGCCCGGGGCUCAACCCCGGCGAGCCGUUGAAACUGGCGGGCUGGAGAGGGGGAGAGGUAGGCGGAAUGCGCGGUGUAGCGGUGAAAUGCUUAGAGAUCGCACAGAACCCCGAUUGCGAAGGCAGCGUACCGAGUCAACCCUGACGCUGAGGCACGAAAGCGUGGGUAUCGAACAGGAUUAGAUACCCCUGUAGUC